This 253-nucleotide ribosomal RNA is filed under the name uncultured bacterium. RNAcentral describes it as "partial 16S ribosomal RNA". It matches the Rfam family "Bacterial small subunit ribosomal RNA", at positions 524 to 776 of the family's 1533-position model. The record is from RNAcentral.
UACGUAGGGUGCGAGCGUUAAUCGGAAUUACUGGGCGUAAAGCGUGCGCAGGCGGUUCGCUGUGUCCGAUGUGAAAGCCUCGGGCUUAACCUGGGAAUGGCAUUGGAAACUGGCGGGCUUGAGUGCGGCAGAGGGGGGUGGAAUUCCGCGUGUAGCAGUGAAAUGCGUAGAGAUGCGGAGGAACACCGAUGGCGAAGGCAGCCCCCUGGGUCGACACUGACGCUCAGGCACGAAAGCGUGGGGAGCAAACAGG